GCGCCGUCGACAGAGGCUGGCGCUCCGUCGAGCGGACGCCACCGCGCCGUCGCGUCGCUCCGUCCGGCGUCUGCAAACGUCGAAACGCGCCGCGCGCGCUCUUCUCAGACAGUUGUGCGAAGUUCGAGAAGCGGAGCGCACACGGACGCGCGCUCUCCGGCAACGCGUGGUGUCCCGGCCAGGUGGACUGGGUCCCUCCUUGCGUCGCUCUCCGUCAAUGAUCCCCCGUGCACGGUGGGUGACAGUGCGCAUGCGCAAGCGAAUGCCACGUGGCUAAGCAGUGAGGUGAAGCGCUCGUUCAGGGCCAGGAGCGGCGUAAGGACGCAUGAAGGUAGCUUUGGAGCUACCUUAUGCUGAGGAAGCACCAAGGAAGCCUUCACCGAGGGUACCCUCUGUAAGGAAGCUUUCAGAGUGACAUAAGGUAGCCUCACCCCAAUGAAGGCUUCCUUAGCGAGGUUUCAUUCCAGAUGACUGGAAAAUUGGAAAGUUCGUUCCAGUCCACAACAGGCAACGACAGGCAAGCCGUGUCUUCACAUCUAGAGUGUGGGAGUCCUUCGGUCUACCGGGGCGCAGUCGCUGCUGUGCCUAAGGCUCCGGACUUAUUCGCCAUUGCGAGGAAAACCUCUCCCAAAUGCCUACCCCUCGACCGCGCGCCGUUUUCCCCGGGCGCCGCGGCCGCGUCCCGUGACGUCAUGCUACGCGGCCCUGCGAUUGGGUCGUGGGGCGUGACGUAGGGAAGAAGCCCCGACUGGGGACGAUCGCCGUGCGCGGGGGAGUCGUGCGGCGACAGGGACGAGCGCCGGUCACGAGAGGCAAGCUGCAAGGUACGUGAGCGACCAGCUAUUUGCGUCCCCCAACGCCCCGGCCUGGGGACGUUCACGUGCUUUGUCAGCUUGCGUAAGUGUGGCUUGCUGAGUGGCUUUGCGUUCCGCCCUUGCGGUAGUCGCAGGUGCUCAGUGCGUCACAUUUUGCGUGUCCGAACCGUCGCAGACCAUUGUCGGUGACGGGAAGCGCUAGGUAGCGUUUGCGAACGCAUUUCGGCCCGCGCGCGUAAACCAUUGUUCGACGCGGCGUGUACCCCGCCUUCCUCGCCAUCGGGAACCGCGGGCGCCGAGUGUACUCCGUGUGUUUGGGUGCAGUCUGGCACAUGUUGGCCAUUGGGGAUCAAUAAACGCCUUAACUGUCCUGGACGCCGUGUGUUCCUGGGAGAGCGCCCAUGCGUACGGCCAGAGCCGUCCAGGUCUUUCGGCUCGGUGCUCGAACCUGCGGUGGGUCUAUCGCCGUGCGCCGUCGUGCCGCGUCGUGAGGCCCCACGUUGGGCGCCAAAAUGUGGGCUCACAGUACGUCUCCGCGCACGGCGUCGCCAAGUGGCCCCCGAGAAGUGGAGCCUCACGACGCGGCACGACGGCGCACGGCGAUAGACCCACCGCAGGUUCGAGCACCGAGCCGAAAGACCUGGACGGCUCUGGCCGUACGCAUGGGCGCUCUCCCAGGAACACACGGCGUCCAGGACAG
This is a non-coding RNA of Dermacentor albipictus, 1515 nucleotides long. The record is from RefSeq and is a predicted model, not a curated record. NCBI's taxonomy places the organism in Eukaryota, Metazoa, Arthropoda, Arachnida, Ixodida, Ixodidae.